This 67-nucleotide transfer RNA is filed under the name Murina shuipuensis. RNAcentral describes it as "tRNA-Tyr". It matches the Rfam family "tRNA". From Rfam's summary of the family: Transfer RNA (tRNA) molecules are approximately 80 nucleotides in length. Their secondary structure includes four short double-helical elements and three loops (D, anti-codon, and T loops). The record is from RNAcentral. Lineage: Eukaryota; Metazoa; Chordata; Mammalia; Chiroptera; Vespertilionidae.
GGUAAAAUGGUCGAGCAGGCGUUAGGCUGUAAACCUAAAAACAGAGGUGUUAGCCCUCUUUUUACCA